RNAcentral lists this ribosomal RNA (377 nucleotides) under uncultured eukaryote. Its description in RNAcentral is "partial 18S ribosomal RNA". It matches the Rfam family "Eukaryotic small subunit ribosomal RNA", at positions 592 to 976 of the family's 1831-position model. The record is from RNAcentral.
CAAUAGCGUAUAUUAAAGUUGUUGCGGUUAAAAAGCUCGUAGUUAGAUUUCAGUCCCUACAGACCGUUCUGCACACGUGCGGCAUCUGGUACAGUAGGGAUUUUACUUGGUGUUCGUGUUGGAACCUGAUAGUUCUACACGGCUUCCAGGGCGUUUACUUUGAGGAAAUUAGAGUGUUUCAAGCAGGCAACUGCCUUGAAUAUAUUAGCAUGGAAUAAUAGUAUAGGACUUUGGUUCUAUUUUGUUGGUUUCUGGGACCAGAGUAAUGAUAAAUAGGGAUAGUCGGGGGCAUUCGUACUUAACUGUCAGAGGUGGAAUUCUUGGAUUUGUUAAAGACGAACUACUGCGAAAGCAUUUGCCAAGGAUGUUUUCAUUGA